Molecule: ribosomal RNA, 254 nt
Filed under: uncultured bacterium
Lineage: Bacteria
Description: partial 16S ribosomal RNA
Rfam family: Bacterial small subunit ribosomal RNA
Source: RNAcentral
UACGAGGGGUGCAAGCGUUGCUCGGAAUUAUUGGGCGUAAAGGGUAGGUAGGUGGUCUUAUUUGUCCGGGGUGAAAGCCUUGAGCUUAACUCAAGAAGUGCCCCGGAAACGGUGAGACUCGAGUACUGGAGAGGGUCGUGGAAUUCCCGGUGUAGCGGUGAAAUGCGUAGAGAUCGGGAGGAACACCAGAGGCGAAGGCGGCGACCUGGACAGUUACUGACACUCAACUACGAAAGCGUGGGGGAGCAAACAGG